Molecule: long non-coding RNA, 199 nt
Filed under: Ananas comosus (pineapple)
Lineage: Eukaryota; Viridiplantae; Streptophyta; Magnoliopsida; Poales; Bromeliaceae
Description: long non-coding RNA (ACOM_LNC009890)
Source: RNAcentral
UGGCUGCGAUGGCGGAGGAGAAUGAGAGCGAAGGGCUUUUUGUCUAUGGUUUCAGUGGAUUGAGUGAGGGAAGAAGGGGAGAUGGUGAUCGAUUUUUCUUUUUUUUUUCUUUUUUUGUUUGUAAUCGGGGCGAAUGGGCUGGGUGGGGUGGGUUGAGUAGAGUAACCUUUUAUUUUUGGUUGGAUUGGGCUUUAUAUUU